ACAUCCAGAGAAUUUAGCAGAGAUGCUUUAGUGCCUUCGAGAACUCUGAGACAGGUGCUGCAUGGCUGUCGUCAGCUCGUGUUGUGAAAUGUUGGGUUAAGUCCGCAACGAGCGCAACCCUUAUCCUUUGUUGCCAGCACGUAAUGGUGGGAACUCAAAGGAGACUGCCGGUGAUAAACCGGAGGAAGGUGGGGAUGACGUCAAGUCAUCAUGGCCCUUACGAGUAGGGCUACACACGUGCUACAAUGGCGUAUACAAAGAGAAGCGACCUCGCGAGAGCAAGCGGACCUCAUAAAGUGCGUCGUAGUCCGGAUUGGAGUCUGCAACUCGACUCCAUGAAGUCGGAAUCGCUAGUAAUCGUAAAUCAGAAUGUUACGGUGAAUACGUUCCCGGGCCUUGUACACACCGCCCGUCACACCAUGGGAGUGGGUUGCAAAAGAAGUAGAUAGCUUAACCUUCGGGAGGGCGUUUACCACUUUGUGAUUCAUGACUGGGGUGAAGUCGUAACAAGGUAAGCGUAGUGCU
Molecule: ribosomal RNA, 525 nt
Filed under: uncultured bacterium
Lineage: Bacteria
Description: bacterial SSU rRNA
Rfam family: Bacterial small subunit ribosomal RNA
Source: RNAcentral